UUUUUUUUUUUUUCUCUCAACUAAAUUAUUUCCUUAGGUUCAAAAAAGCACCAGAAUGAUUUUAUCUUUAUCACAGUUAUAAAAUACAGCACAGCUGCCACAACCAUUCUUCCCUCUGUAAAUGUUUGGAUACUCCCCACACACAGUUUCUUCUAGUCAGUAAAUGUUUGUAUGCCAGGAAAAGACACUUGACUUCCUUAUCUGUUUUGUCACCGAGACACCAAAAAGUAUAAGGUUUCCUGCAGAAACCCACUGUGCCUUGAUCGGGUGGAGAAAGGCAGGGAAGGAGCAUGAACUCAGGCAGCAAAACCUUCAAAAGCAAAUAAAGCCGUCUGUGUUGUUAACUGGGAAGUGUCUAUAUAGCUGCCAGCCAAAUGCUGCUGCAAGAGAAGAUUAUUUUUAAUAAUCAGAACAGUUUCUUAGAGAAUGUAUAUUCCCAUGAUCAAAUCUAAUGCAACACCAUCAGGAUUUGGCUCUAGACAACACCCAUGACAUUUUAUAGUACUUAUCAGCAUCACCGUUAAGCGUUGCUGACAGGGUCUGUGGAAAGCGAGCCGAGCAGUCAAGUUACACUGGAAACUUUUAGACUCCCAGGGACUGUUUUUGAUGGAAUCUAUGUCCAUCUCCAGAUCACCAUGACAUCGUCUGCAAUGGUUCUAAUGCUCUCUCCCGCCAUGAGCUGACAGCCUUCACCCAUGGGACGGGGAGGGUGGAGAGCAAGGCAAGAAGCUAAAUCACAUGGACACUUUAAAAACAAUUGAAGUUGCUGCACAAAAUCCUUACACUUAGCAGCAAACACGUGGUGGGAAUCUGCAGCUCAUAUGCGCUGCAGAUUACUGAAGUCCUAUUUAACUUGCAAAAAAACUCAAAAAAGACAAAAAAAAAACCAACCAACAAAAAACACCUCAGAACAUCCAGAUGUUUUUGAAAAGUCCAAGACUGCUUCCCAUUUCACUGCAUAUACUAUUUCAUCAUCCAGAAGUUUUACAAUACAUUUUGCAUUACCUUUUCAAAUCAGCAGUUUUUCCUAGCUUAGAUCAGUGAGCCGUAUGUCUGUGGGCUCAGAGCCUUUAACACCUCUGCAUGCUUUCCAGUUUGGCAUUCUCCCAGGAUUGGCCAUCAUCCAAGAACCCAACUUCCAGCUCAGGGCUGCCCUCCCUCGUUUCCAUUCCUCAGUUCUGAUUCUGUCCC
This 1191-nucleotide long non-coding RNA is filed under the name Strigops habroptila (Kakapo). Its description in RNAcentral is "lncRNA (ENSSHBG00005018761.1)". Lineage: Eukaryota; Metazoa; Chordata; Aves; Psittaciformes; Psittacidae. The record is from RNAcentral.